AUUAGUUCAUAAAGAGAAUAUAUAUAUAUAUAUAUAUAUAUAUAUAUAUAUAUAUAUAUAUAUAUAUAUUAACGUAAUAUAUAUAUAUAUAUAUAUAUAUAAUAUUUUCUAAAUGUAAGCCUCAAUUAAUUUUUAAUAUAUGAUUCAUAUAUAAUUGAGGGGUUAAGAUUCAUACUUGCAACAAAUUUACAAAUACUACAAGUUAGAAAACUAAAUGUCCUACCAAUUACUCGAACGAGGUUUCACUUAAUUCUUUAACCAUUAGAAACCUACUCUGUCAUGUCCAGUCGCGGAACUAGGGGGAGCGGGCAGCCGGCGCCCGGCGGUCCGGCAGUGACCGGCGAGCAGAGCAGUUCAAACUUCAAAGCAGAGCAGUUUAACCCUUACACAGUCGCCUCCACUGCUCCACAUACCAGACCCCAGUUUUCUCUUCAGUCUUCGCCCCUCGCCUCCACAGUCCACAGAUGACAGAUCCAUUGCGCCCGUCGCCGCACGCCGCCGCACGCCCGGACGCCGAUGUCUACUGAUCACGCCUCCUGCCUGGUUGCCUCCACUUAACCACAGACAACUAAUACUCUGCUUUGGACUUUGGUAAAUAAAAGAAUAAAAAUUGAUUUUAUGUUAAUUUAGGUAUAAAUCAGUUAGCUUUUGACUGAAUUAGUGACAUGGAGUAUAGUUGUUAGUGUGCGGAGUAAUAAAGAUGGCGAAUUCGGGUUGGAACACAAAGAAAUGGCUAAGAAAUCUGAUUAUUAAAGUGGCGCACAUAACAUGUUCGCUAAAAGUCCUCUUAGGACUGUUUUUGCUAAAAACUAGGAAUUAAGCAAAGCCAAGACCCAAACUGUAUACAUAUAUGCUUUAUAUAGCUAAUUAAAGAGCUUGGGCAAAUCGAAUCAUGAAAAGGCAUUUUAAAAUCAAAAUAAAAAAUUAGUGUGUCCGGUUAAAAUUUUUUGCCCCCCCUAAAAAACUGCUCUGGUUCCGCCACUGGUCAUGUCAUCUAUCAUGUUUAUGACUCACCCCUAACGCCAUACAUAUAUACUUAAAUUAAAUUCUCCAUUUUCUAAUCAUUAAUUUGACGUUGUUUCUAAUAAAUUAUUUUCUCCUUUUUCUAAUUACUCAAGGAUAUCUCAAGGUAGGAGUGCGUAAAUAACCACGAGACGUUGUUCAUGUUUUCUCGCUGUUGGGUCAUGAUAUUUCUCUUAUUUGGGUCAAGUAAAUUGGGCUCAUUUAUUUAAUUAGUCUAUGGGGCUUUCAUUACUGAACCUUGAAAGUUAUUGGGCCUAGUCUUCAUAUUAUUACCAUUAAACCUUAGG
RNAcentral lists this long non-coding RNA (1310 nucleotides) under Panax ginseng (ginseng). RNAcentral describes it as "long non-coding RNA (PGIN_LNC001906)". The record is from RNAcentral. Lineage: Eukaryota; Viridiplantae; Streptophyta; Magnoliopsida; Apiales; Araliaceae.